UUAAAUUAAAGAUAUGUCAAAUGUACCAAAAUGUCUUUUAAUUUUGUGGUCUUAAACAUGCCACGUGGAAAUUUAAAAUUAAAAAGUUGCUAUAAAAGAGUAGAGAUAAUUCUUUUUUAAACGGACUAAAAAGAAAAGUAAAUUGUUCUUUUUGAAAUGAAGGGAGUAUAUGAAAGAUGACCGGAAGUUUACCUUUCCGUUUGCGUCGUGGACUAUUCUGUUCAUCGACCUGGAAACAAAGUCCCCAGGGAAAUGCUUUGGAGAUGCUUGGAGGUGAGUGGAGUACCGCAGGCAUAUAUCAGAGUUAUUAAGGAUAUGUAUGAGGGAGCGAAAACCCAGGUGAGGACGGCGGGAGGAGACUCAGAGCAUUUCACUGUCCUGACAGGAUUGCAUCAGGGAUCUACUCUUAGUCCCUUUUUGUUUGCGUUAGUAAUGGAUGUGUUGACGCGGCGUAUCCAAGGGGAGGUGCCGUGGUGUAUGCUUUUUGCAGACGAUGUAGUCCUGAUAGAUGAGACUCGAGGGGGUGUGAAUGACAAAUUAGAGUUGUGGAGGCAAACUCUGGAGUCUAAAGGGUUCAGGGUGAGCAGAACCAAGACAGAGUAUGUGGAAUGUAAGUUUAAUGACGUGAGGCGGGAGAAUGAGGUAGUAGUGAGGCUAGAAGCACAGGAGGUAGGGAAGAGGGAUAAGUUCAAGUAUCUCGGGUCCGUGAUCCAGAGUAACGGUGAGAUUGACGAGGAUGUCUCGCACCGUAUUGGGGCGGGAUGGAUGAAGUGGAAACUCGCAUCGGGGGUGCUGUGUGAUAAGAAGGUGCCGCCCAAGCUUAAAGGCAAAUUCUAUAGGGUGGUAGUCCGUCCGGCCUUGCUGUAUGGAGCGGAGUGUUGGCCAGUUAAGAACUCCCACAUCCAAAAAAUGAAGGUGGCAGAAAUGCGGAUGUUGCGCUGGAUGUGUGGACUGACCCGAGGGGAUAGAGUUCGGAAUGAGACUAUCCGGGAGAAGGUUGGUGUGACUUCAGUGGAGUGUAAGAUGCGGGAAGCACGAUUGAGAUGGUUCGGACACGUGAAGAGGAGGGGCACGGAUGCCCCGGUCCGUAGGUGUGAGAGGCUAGCGUUGGAUGGUUUUAGACGGGGUAGGGGUAGACCGAAGAAGUACUGGGGUGAGGUGAUUAGGCGGGACAUGGAACAGUUACAGCUCACCGAGGACAUGACCCUAGAUAGGAAGGUCUGGAAGACGCGAAUUACGGCAGAGGAUUAGGGCCAGUGCGGGUCGCUAGUGCAGGGAAUUAAUUGGUGGGGGUGUAUGCCUGUUAUGAUUCUGUAUUCAGUGUUUCGUGUUCCGUGUUCCAUGUUUAUUACGAAUAUGUGUGCUUUCCUCUGCUUUAUAUUCCUGCAUUCCCGCUUUACUCUGUUUUAUAUUCCCAAUGGGUGCCGUAUUUAUGUUAUGUCAUCUGCUUCUGUGCUGUACUAUGUGUUGUGUGAUAUCUCGUGACUUGAGCCGGGGGUCUUUCGGAAACAGCCUUUCUACUUCAUCAGAGGUAGAGGUAUGGACUGCGUACAUCUUACCCCCCCCAGACCCCACUAAGUGGGAAUACACUGGGUUUGUUGUUGUUGUAUUGCUCUAUCUUUGAAUCUUGUGGUGUUAAAUUAAAGAUAUGUCAAAUGUACCAAAAUGCCUUUUAAUUUGUGGUCUUAAACAUGCCACGGGGAAAUUUAAAAUUAAAAAGUUGCUAUAAAAGAGUAGAGAUAAUUCUUUUUUAAACGGACUAAAAAGAAAAGUAAAUUGUUCUUUUUGAAAUGAAGGGAGUAUAUGAAAGAUGACUGGAAGUUUACCUUUCCGUUUGCGUCGUGGACUAUUCUCCAGAUUUAUUUUCCACCAAACUCUGAAGUGCUUUUGUUGAUUGGAAUCAAGAUAGAGCAAUACUUACUUCAAAGACUCUAAAGGAAUAUCCAUAUAAUGGGAAGUAAAAUGUGAUAUGAACUACAAAGUGGAAGUUAUCU
This 1994-nucleotide long non-coding RNA is filed under the name Capsicum annuum. RNAcentral describes it as "long non-coding RNA (CANN_LNC020633)". Lineage: Eukaryota; Viridiplantae; Streptophyta; Magnoliopsida; Solanales; Solanaceae. The record is from RNAcentral.